AGAACGACUCUCGGCAACGGAUAUCUCGGCUCUCGCAUCGAUGAAGAACGUAGCGAAAUGCGAUACUUGGUGUGAAUUGCAGAAUCCCGUGAACCAUCGAGUCUUUGAACGCAAGUUGCGCCCGAGGCCAUCAGGCCGAGGGCACGUCUGCCUGGGCGUCACAC
This 164-nucleotide ribosomal RNA is filed under the name Ficus benjamina (weeping fig). RNAcentral describes it as "5.8S ribosomal RNA". It matches the Rfam family "5.8S ribosomal RNA". Rfam says of the family: 5.8S ribosomal RNA (5.8S rRNA) is a component of the large subunit of the eukaryotic ribosome. It is transcribed by RNA polymerase I as part of the 45S precursor that also contains 18S and 28S rRNA. The record is from RNAcentral. Lineage: Eukaryota; Viridiplantae; Streptophyta; Magnoliopsida; Rosales; Moraceae.